RNA transcript from Rhopalosiphum padi (bird cherry-oat aphid), 2389 nucleotides. RefSeq lists it as uncharacterized. The transcript has 9 exons. The record is from RefSeq and is a predicted model, not a curated record. Lineage: Eukaryota; Metazoa; Arthropoda; Insecta; Hemiptera; Aphididae.
CUUUUCUAAUUGUUUUGACGAAAAACAAACUUCAAAAGUUCAAAACAUUAUGUCGUGUUAGUAAACAUUCAACAAACCGUUUGCUUUCGUUACCUCCAUAAAACAUGCUUUGUGACUGAUUGUAUUGAUAUCAACCUGAUAACACCGCAUUUCACUAUUUCAGUAUUCGAUUUGAGUAAUAAGUUAUAAUAAAAAUACAUAAUUCAAAUGCUUCACUGGUAUUUACGCUUAAGAAUUAAAUUCAUAUAUCCAAGCCAAAAUGGAAAUCGAUGAUGAAGAUGUUGUCAUAGGCGGCACAGAAUUGCAAAAGUACUUAACUGCUGUCGGAUACUCUGAAUUUGAAGUUUCUGAACAAAAACAUGUUGAAAAGUUUUGUGCGAUUGAAGCACAAAAAUGUUCAAAGAAAAAAAUGAGAUUGACCCAAAAUCACAAGGAUUUUGAAUUGUGUGUAACAUUAAUCAAGAUAAUCAUAGAGAGUCAACUUAUUUUCAAAGAAGAUACUUUAUUUAUUAAGGAAUUUAUUCCAUCAGAACACUUUAAAUAUCCUCUAUUUCUUACAAAACAAAAAAGUUUAACUCUUCUUGUUUUAUGCAUAUUCUGUGGUAUUAUGAAUAUGUUUUUUUCAAAAUACUGGGAUGUAUGGACAACAGUUGGUUUAUUAAUUUUUUGGUUUGGAUGUGUGUUCAUGGAUGUAAUAUAUAACUUGAAACAAAAUAGAACAAUAAAAAAUACUAUAAUGAAAACCAUUCAAUCUAUGGAAAAAUUAUCUCUGCUGAUACAAAAGUCUACUCAUUUUCUUCAAGAAUGUAACAAUCUUCAUAAAAGUUAUUAUGACACAUAUGCUGGUAAAAAUCCUAAUGCCUUCAAUUACUUGUUGAUGCCAGAAUUUAAAUCUUUACUUAUAACUGUGUUACAAGAGUUGAUCAACAAUCUUGUAAAUAAUGUGUCUGAAGUUCACACAUUUUUCCCUCUAAAAGAUUCUGUUUCCAACAUUGUUUAUUUAUAUCGCACAGACUGCAAAAUUGAUUUAAACAACACUUCUUUUGAAAAUAUAAAUAAAUCCAAGUAUACUUACUUUCUAUUACAAUCAGAAUUCUUGAAACAGUCAGCAUUGUGUUUAUGCCCAGCAUUAUGGACUCCUUACAGUUCUUUUCACUUGAAUCGUCUAAUUGAAACUAUUGGUGAAAUUGAAAAAGUGUAUUCAAACUCAUAUAAUAUUUUAUAUGACGAGUAUAAUAUCUAUUCAAUGUUCAAAAAUAAUAAUACUAUAGAACAUAGUAAACAACCAGUUCAAGAUAAUAACAGAAAUUCUGAUCUGAAGUUGAAAAUAUAUAGUGUUCGACAUUUCUUGCAAAACAUGAUGGUGCAUGUAAGGUUCAUGGAAGACUCAAUUGAAAACUCUUCAGCAUACAGUGCUGAUGAUAUAAAUAAUACAUUGAAUGUUUUAGUAAAAGAAGGCAAUGUUUUUAAUGAACUUAUUUCUUCUUUACAAAUUUAUAUUCUAAAAACAAAUAAUGACCAAACAGAUAAAACUAUAUUAACUAAUGAUUCCAUUGGUGUAAUUGAUCAUAUAGAUACAGAAACCAAUGAACCAAUUAAAGAAGUCUGUGAAGAUGAAUUAUUUUUUGGUGUAUCUGAAGAACCUACGGAAAAAAAGGAAAAUACAUUUUGUGAUGAAAUAGUAUUUGAUAAGUCUAACAAUCAUAAUUUAAUGUUAGAAUUGAAAGUUGCACUUAAAGAUAAACAAGAAGAAUGGAAACAACGAGAAUGCAAGUUGUUAGAAAAACAUCCACAGUUAAAUGACUUUUCUGAUGACGAAGAAUGUAAUGAGAAACAUGUCCAAUACAUAAAUAAAGUGCGUAAAGUAGCCAUAGAUUUGCCUCCUAAUGAAAGUUUUCCUAUGCAAUUGCCUGAUAAAAGCUUUGCUAGUGAAAUUGCCAUGAUCGCUUGUAAACGGAAUACAGCAAUAGAGUGUUUUGGAGAUGAUUCUGAUUCGAAUAUAUCUGUGGACUCAAAUGAUUCUUAAAUUAUUUUGUUCCAAUAAUCAAUUUCUAGUCAAAUUAUUGAAUAUUAAUUAUGUUUUCGGUUUUUGUGAUAUGAUGUUGUUCUAUUGCUGUUCUAAUCAACUAAUCAAUCAUUUAUGUCAAAUGAUCUUGGCUUACAUAAAACAAUACUUUAAUUCCAUUAAAGAUUCAAAUAGCCAAGUAACCAAUGAAGUUGCAGCUGGUUUGAAGGAUAAUAUGACGUUGCAAUGUACUAGCGUGCUUCCAGACUACUUGUAUGUUAUAAGGAUUUUUAUCUUCAAAAAUGUGUAUAUAAAUAAGUUGAUUAAUAUCAUAAUCAGAUGUUAUGUGAUAUUAUGAAUAAAGAUACAAAAACAAAAUAUUUA